Molecule: ribosomal RNA, 447 nt
Filed under: uncultured bacterium
Lineage: Bacteria
Description: bacterial SSU rRNA
Rfam family: Bacterial small subunit ribosomal RNA
Source: RNAcentral
UACCAGACUCCUACGGGAGGCAGCAGUGGGGGAUAUUGCACAAUGGGGGGAACCCUGAUGCAGCGACGCCGCGUGGGUGAAGGAGUGCUUCGGCAUGUAAAGCCCUAUCGGCAGGGAAGAAGCAAGACGGUACCUGACUAAGAAGCCCCGGCUAACUACGUGCCAGCAGCCGCGGGAAUACGUAGGGGGCGAGCGUUAUCCGGAUUCACUGGGUGUAAAGGGAGCGUAGACGGCCAUGCAAGCCAGGGGUGAAAGCCCGGGGCCCAACCCCGGGACUGCCCUUGGAACUGCAUGGCUGGAGUGCGGGAGGGGCAGGCGGAAUUCCUGGUGUAGCGGUGAAAUGCGUAGAUAUCAGGAGGAACAUCAGUGGCGAAGGCGACUAUCUGGCACAUAACUGACGCUGAGGAGCGAAAGCGUGGGUAGCAAACAGGAUUAGAUACCCCCGUA